RNAcentral lists this ribosomal RNA (496 nucleotides) under uncultured bacterium. Its description in RNAcentral is "partial 16S ribosomal RNA". It matches the Rfam family "Bacterial small subunit ribosomal RNA", at positions 29 to 507 of the family's 1533-position model. The record is from RNAcentral.
AUGAACGCUGGCGGCGUGCCUAAUACAUGCAAGUCGAGCGAACAGACGAGGAGCUUGCUACUCUGACGUUAGCGGCGGACGGGUGAGUAACACGUGGAUAACCUACCUAUAAGACUGGGAUAACUUCGGGAAACCGGAGCUAAUACCGGAUAAUAUAUUGAACCGCAUGGUUCAAUAGUGAAAGACGGUUUUGCUGUCACUUAUAGAUGGAUCCGCGCCGCAUUAGCUAGUUGGUAAGGUAACGGCUUACCAAGGCAACGAUGCGUAGCCGACCUGAGAGGGUGAUCGGCCACACUGGAACUGAGACACGGUCCAGACUCCUACGGGAGGCAGCAGUAGGGAAUCUUCCGCAAUGGGCGAAAGCCUGACGGAGCAACGCCGCGUGAGUGAUGAAGGUCUUCGGAUCGUAAAACUCUGUUAUUAGGGAAGAACAAAUGUGUAAGUAACUAUGCACGUCUUGACGGUACCUAAUCAGAAAGCCACGGCUAACUACGUG